CCCUUAGAUGUCCUGGGCUGCACGCGCGCUACACUGAUGUGUCCAGUAAGCACCUAACCUCUUCCGAAAGGAACGGGUAACCUUUGCAAAGCACAUCGUGAUGGGGAUAGAUUAUUGCAAUUAUUAGUCUUGAACGAGGAAUUCCUAGUAAGCACAAGUCAUCAGCUUGUGUUGAUUACGUCCCUGCCCUUUGUACACACCGCCCGUCGCUCCUACCGAUUGAAUGUUCCGGUGAGCUCUUCGGACUGCGCGGUCUGCAGUUUCUGCGUUCCGUGCGGAAAGUUGCGCAAACCUUAACAUUUAGAGGAAGGAGAAGGCGGAACA
RNAcentral lists this ribosomal RNA (324 nucleotides) under uncultured eukaryote. Its description in RNAcentral is "partial 18S ribosomal RNA". It matches the Rfam family "Eukaryotic small subunit ribosomal RNA", at positions 1470 to 1796 of the family's 1831-position model. The record is from RNAcentral.